RNAcentral lists this transfer RNA (69 nucleotides) under Neodiprion huizeensis. RNAcentral's name for it is "tRNA-Met". Lineage: Eukaryota; Metazoa; Arthropoda; Insecta; Hymenoptera; Diprionidae. The record is from RNAcentral.
UAAAAGAUAAGCUAAUUAAGCUAUUGGGUUCAUACCCCUUUUAUAAAAAUUCUAAUUUUUUUCUUUUAA